UUUUCCAGCUGUGUGGCUUUGGGCAAGUUAUUUAACCUCUCUGUGCCUCAACUUCUUCAUGUAAACUGGCAGUAAUAAUAAUACGAAUGCCACAGAGCUGUGGAUGAAAUGAGCCCAUGGGAAUGGUGCUGUUUCCCCACCACAAGCUGGCCAAUGCCGGUCUGGCUUCUUUAACCAGGAAGAUGUGGGCUGAGAGCUGUGGAGUAGAUGUCUUCACCAGAUGAGUACACAGAGAAGUAGAGAAUGUGUAUCUGCAGAGUAGGAUGAAGCAGAGACAAGGAAUGGAUGUAAGUGCUAUGAGGGCAGGAAGAUUGUUUUUCCUACCACUGAAUUCCCAGGACCUCAAUCAAUGCUUGGUAUAUAGUGGGCACUCCAUAAAUGAAUUUAAGUGAAUAAUGAUGCCAAAGCAUCUCAUGGCUUGUGAAUAAGGUAUUCAGGAAGCACAGCUGUCUUUUGUUCCUGAAGCCGUAUCAGGAUUCAGCAGGAAAGAGCACCAAGAUCACUUGGCAAUGUUUAUCCUGAUCAAGCACGGGCACUGAUGGCAGGUAAAUUGACAGCCUAUCUUCACAGAUGCAGGACAAAGGACAGAACUCUAAGUCAUCCCUGUGCUCACCUGAGACAAAUGCAUGUCUGAUUGCUUCCACUGAUGUAAAAAUGCAGAUUUGCUGAGUUAGACGAAGACGAUGGCAGAGAGCAGUCUUCAUCCUGAGCCCCAUUCCUAGG
This 723-nucleotide long non-coding RNA is filed under the name Homo sapiens (human). RNAcentral's name for it is "HSALNT0073870". The record is from RNAcentral. Lineage: Eukaryota; Metazoa; Chordata; Mammalia; Primates; Hominidae.